UGGGGAAUAUUGCACAAUGGUCGCAAGCCUGAUGCAGCCAUGCCGCGUGUAUGAAGAAGGCCUUCGGGUUGUAAAGUACUUUCAGUCGGGAGGAAGGUGGUAAGGUUAAUAACCUUAUCAAUUGACGUUACCGACAGAAGAAGCACCGGCUAACUCCGUGCCAGCAGCCGCGGUAAUACGGAGGGUGCAAGCGUUAAUCGGAAUUACUGGGCGUAAAGCGCACGCAGGCGGUUGAUUGAGUCAGAUGUGAAAUCCCCGGGCUUAACCCGGGAAUUGCAUCUGAUACUGGUCAGCUAGAGUCUUGUAGAGGGGGGUAGAAUUCCAUGUGUAGCGGUGAAAUGCGUAGAGAUGUGGAGGAAUACCGGUGGCGAAGGCGGCCCCCUGGACAAAGACUGACGCUCAGGUGCGAAAGCGUGGGGAGCAAACAGG
RNAcentral lists this ribosomal RNA (429 nucleotides) under Chloroflexota bacterium. RNAcentral's name for it is "Chloroflexi bacterium partial 16S ribosomal RNA". It matches the Rfam family "Bacterial small subunit ribosomal RNA", at positions 355 to 776 of the family's 1533-position model. The record is from RNAcentral. Lineage: Bacteria; Bacillati; Chloroflexota.